This 253-nucleotide ribosomal RNA is filed under the name uncultured bacterium. RNAcentral's name for it is "partial 16S ribosomal RNA". It matches the Rfam family "Bacterial small subunit ribosomal RNA", at positions 524 to 776 of the family's 1533-position model. The record is from RNAcentral.
UACGGAGGAUGCGAGCGUUAUCCGGAUUUAUUGGGUUUAAAGGGUGCGUAGGCGGGAUGCCAAGUCAGCGGUAAAAAUGCGGUGCUCAACGCCGUCGAGCCGUUGAAACUGGCGUUCUUGAGUGGGCGAGAAGUAUGCGGAAUGCGUGGUGUAGCGGUGAAAUGCAUAGAUAUCACGCAGAACUCCGAUUGCGAAGGCAGCAUACCGGCGCCCCUACUGACGCUGAGGCACGAAAGCGUGGGUAUCGAACAGG